AUCCUGGCUCAGGAUGAACGCUAGCGGCAAGCUUAACACAUGCAAGUCGAGGGGUAUAGUUCUUCGGAAUUAGAGACCGGCGCACGGGUGCGUAACGCGUAUGCAAUCUACCUUCACAGAGGGAUAGCCCAGAGAAAUUUGGAUUAAUACCUCAUAGUAUAGCAGUUUCGCAUGAAACCACUAUUAAAGUCACAACGGUGAAAGAUGAGCAUGCGUCCCAUUAGCUAGUUGGUAAGGUAACGGCUUACCAAGGCAACGAUGGGUAGGGGUCCUGAGAGGGAGAUCCCCCCACACUGGUACUGAGACACGGACCAGACUCCUACGGGAGGCAGCAGUGAGGAAUAUUGGACAAUGGGCGCAAGCCUGAUCCAGCCAUGCCGCGUGCAGGAUGACGGUCCUAUGGAUUGUAAACUGCUUUUAUACAGGAAGAAACACUACUUCGUGAAGUAGCUUGACGGUACUGUAAGAAUAAGGAUCGGCUAACUCCGUG
RNAcentral lists this ribosomal RNA (490 nucleotides) under uncultured bacterium. RNAcentral's name for it is "bacterial SSU rRNA". It matches the Rfam family "Bacterial small subunit ribosomal RNA", at positions 16 to 507 of the family's 1533-position model. The record is from RNAcentral.